UAUACCACUGGAAUCCAUAUAUAAAUACCUCUCCAAUGAGUACCAAUAAUUGGUAUUGAGUGAAUAUGGACCAACCCAUGGCAAAUCGAACGUCAUACAUCCCGACGAAACUAAAUUCUUCUCGCAGAAACCUUUAAUCCGGUAUAUGUUCUAGGUACGUGUGCCUGAUUCCACUAUAAUCUUCUAACACAUGUUCCAGUACAUCUCUUAAAGUACUUACUUAACAUGUGAUGUUACCAGGUGAAAAUCUUUUGCACAAUUUGGAACAAAUUUACUCUUAUAAUGUCAGAGUAGGAUACCUAAUAUUGCAUUCUCGGCUUAGCUACAUCGGAACAACGCUUGGAUGUAUGCUCAUGAUUUGGCUUGUCAUCUUGUGUGUUAUUCACCGACCUUGAUGUGUUAUAUGCUAUGGGAAACCAUAUAUAACACCAUAAUUUGAUGUAGGCUGAUUAUUGAUCUACUUUUGGACAGUCGUAUAGAAUACUUCUUGACAAAUCUGAUAUCACUCACUUUUGUAUGUAUAUAAGAGGUUCACAGCAUAAUGCUCGAGUCGAUUUCAGAAUUUUGAAUGAAAUGGACCUAUGUGUAACAUAUUCAAGAUGGCAACCAUAAAGCUGUGCAAAAAAACUGAUCAUAAUGUAAAUGUUAUUUAUUUCAGCAAAUAUACAAAUCAAUUUCUUGGACGCAGGCUUGAUAUUUUGACAAAUUUUGCCGUUUCAGAUGUUUUAGUACAGCUACUAGUUAAGGUGAAUUUGCUGGGGGCACCACCGAAGGUUGAACUGUUGUGACUGAGACCAACAUCUUAUACAACCGGGAACAACUCGAAGACAGCUUUGACAUCUCAACCAAAACGGAAACGUAUCCCCAGUGAUACAGAGCCAGUGUGCAUCAUACAUGUGCCUGGCUUGAAGUAUGGCCCACUACAACAUCUGAGCAAAGCCAAAGAUCCUGAUGAGAAGAUGGAAAAGCUGAAGGAGCGAUCAAAAAGCGCAGAAGGAUGGCAGAACCUCCAGAAACGCCAAAUCAAAUGGAAGUGUCAUGUACAAGCUUGCCGGCAGUUUUGGAAGAAACCCAUGGCUAUCACAGAGAAUAUUAUCUGCGUUUUACAAUGAACCUUGACAGUUUGUAACAACCUGAAAUUGAAUCUUAGGAACUAGCUUGCCGCCCAAUUCAGCGUCCAUCCUAUGAGCCCAUCAUCUUCCAACCUGACUGCAUCUUUUGUACUUUGUAUUCAUAAAAGAAAUUCAAGUCAAAAGGAAGCUGGACAACAGAAGGGCUCACAAACUUCAGUCGGGAUGGAUGGCAGCAUGUCAUUGAAGUAGCUCAACGUCAAAACGAUGAGCCUCUCCUGCCGCGGAUCAGAGGGAAGGAUCUAUUUACCUGUGAAGCAAAAUAUCACUAGUCGUGGCGAACUGUAGCUGUACUGGAACAUGUGUUAGAAGAUUAUAGUGGAAUCAGGCACACGUACCUAGAACAUAUACCGGAUUAAAGGUUUCUGCGAGAA
Molecule: long non-coding RNA, 1504 nt
Organism: Haliotis rufescens (red abalone)
Lineage: Eukaryota; Metazoa; Mollusca; Gastropoda; Lepetellida; Haliotidae
Exons: 2
Source: RefSeq, a predicted model, not a curated record